Molecule: non-coding RNA, 670 nt
Organism: Plectropomus leopardus (leopard coralgrouper)
Lineage: Eukaryota; Metazoa; Chordata; Actinopteri; Perciformes; Serranidae
Source: RefSeq, a predicted model, not a curated record
UUUCAUCCACGGGCACACUUGUUACCCAGAGUCCUGAUGUCUCUGUCAUGGAGGGGGACACAGUAAACAUAACCUGCUGCUGGACAGGAGUAACAAGACUGAGAGUUACCUGGCUGAAAAAUGAAACAGAUAAUAAGACUGGGAAUUUCUCCCUCAAAAACUGCUCUCAAGGACCUCUGAUAAUACAGACAUCUAACUGCUCAUACUUAACCUUCAUGAAUGUCACAACAGAGGAUUCAGGGAGAUACAUCUGUAAGGUGACUGUGGAGAUACCAUUUUUUGCCGAGGUUGAAGGAAACGGUACUGUCAUCACAGUUACGGACAGAAGCAACACGAAGGAUGACACAGCAGGAGAUUCUCGUGGAAGUGUGGAGGAAGUGUUCAUUACUGUCCUGAGGUACCUGUGCAUUCUUGCCCUCGUCAUAACUGUCUUCUGCAUCAACAAGUUAACAAGCAAAUCUUAGCAACACACACCAGCUGCUCCAGGAAAUGAGCUCACUUCAGUCAAAAGAACCAACGAAGAAGAAGAGGCGAGAGAUGAGAGGGAAAUGGAAACAGAGUGAAAAUAAAAAAGGAUGACUGAAUUGUCUUGAUUGGGACACAAAGUCAACAUGUGUCAGCCAUGGACGGAUUAUGAGACAAUGGGCCCCAGGGCACAGACAUGCAAAUG